RNAcentral lists this ribosomal RNA (243 nucleotides) under uncultured Actinomycetales bacterium. RNAcentral's name for it is "partial 16S ribosomal RNA". It matches the Rfam family "Bacterial small subunit ribosomal RNA", at positions 89 to 334 of the family's 1533-position model. Lineage: Bacteria; Bacillati; Actinomycetota; Actinomycetes; Actinomycetales. The record is from RNAcentral.
ACUCGAGUGGCGAACGGGUGAGUAACACGUGGGUAAUCUGCCCUGCACUCUGGGAUAAGCCUGGGAAACUGGGUCUAAUACUGGAUAUGACCUUUCUCCUUAUGGGGUUUGGUGGAAAGUUUUUCGGUGUAGGAUGAGCCCGCGGCCUAUCAGCUUGUUGGUGGGGUGAUGGCCUACUAAGGCGACGACGGGUAGCCGGCCUGAGAGGGUGAUCGGCCACAUUGGGACUGAGAUACGGCCAAG